RNAcentral lists this long non-coding RNA (1333 nucleotides) under Junco hyemalis (dark-eyed junco). RNAcentral describes it as "lncRNA (ENSJHYG00000006430.1)". Lineage: Eukaryota; Metazoa; Chordata; Aves; Passeriformes; Passerellidae. The record is from RNAcentral.
UUCAGGCCUCUCCCAUUUUCUGGGAUGCAGGAGCCCAAGUCAGGCCAAGUAUCUGCUGCCUUUUCCUCCCAGAGCCUCUCACCUUGAUGGUGAAACCCUUCUUGCUCAGCUCAUCCAGGAACUUCUUUCUCUUGAUCUCCUUCUCACUGCCCAUUUCGUGGAUGUCACUCACCAGGACAAAAUCCCACUUCUCUUCAUUCUGCCCACAAAACCAGCAGGGAAUUAUUAGGAAUGGAAAGCUGAGAGCUCUCCUUUCCAGCUCCAGCUUCUCAGAGGUUUGGACCCCAUUGUGGCUGUGUAGAGGGGAGUUGGGAAUGAGCAGGGGAAAUGGGGAUUUGUCCCCUCUCUGAGCUGCAGAUGCAGAAGGAGCAGAGCUUACCGGGGAGGCAAAGGAGUCUGUGUCCUCAGCAGGGGAUUCCCUGCAGGGAGUCAGCAGAAUUUCAUCCUGGUGAAAAGAAAACCAGUGAAGAGGAGGCCUCAGCAGGCUCCCUGGGAGAUCCUGUGUUUUCCUCUUCCAGCAGCCUCCAAGAGGUGCCCAGGGAGGAAGGAAAGCAGGUGAAAAAAUUCCUUGGAAAAUAUGUUGGAUGCCUCAGGCUGCAGCCAAGGGACAGAGAGGGGAGGAUGAGCUGCUGAUCAUAAAAUCAUAGAACAUCCCAAGUUGGAAGGGACUCACAAGGAUAAUUGAAUCCAGCUCCUGGACCUGCACAGGACCACCCCAAGCAUCCAUGUCCCUAGGAGUGUUGUCCAAGCACUGCUUGAACUCUGGCUUUUGCCUGUUCCCCUCCUGUGUGUCAGUGGCUCUGGAGAGAGCAGCUGUGCAGCUCCCACCUUCCUGGGUACAGGUAAUUACACUCAGACACCCAAGGGUGCAGAUGUGGGGGACUGUGACAGUGUUCAUGGGGUUCUUAGGAUGAGGGAAGAGAUGAGAAUCUGACUCCAUGUUUCAGAAGGCUUGAUUUAUUAUUCUAUGAUGUAUAUUAUAUUAAAACUAUACUAAAAUAAUAGAAGAAAGGAUUUCAUCAGAAGGCUAGCUAAGAAUAGAAUAAGAAAGAAUUAAUAACAAAGGUUUGUGUCUUGGACAGAGUCCAAACCAGCUGUCUGUGAUUGGCCAUUAAUUAGAAACAACUCUGUGAGACCAAUCACAGAUGCACCUGUUGCAUUCCACAGCAGCAGAUAACCAUUGUUUACAUUUUGUUCCUGGGGCCGCUCACCUUCUCAGGAGAAAAAAUCAUAUGGAAAGGACUUUUCAUAAAAGAUGUCUGUGACAGGGGAGCACAAAGCAAAUAUCAGGGAAUGGUUUGUGUUGGAAAGGACCUUCACACCCAUCCACUCC